AACAGCCCAGAUCGACAGCUAAGGUCUCCAAAUCCAUACUAAGUGGGAAAGGUGGUGGAGUUGCUGAUACAUCCAGGAGGUUGGCUUAGAAGCAGCCAUCCUUUAAAGAAAGCGUAAUAGCUCACUGGCCUAGCGAUUCUGCGCCGAAAAUGUAACGGGGCUAAGUAUGGUACCGAAGCUUCGGGUUCGUCUUUUAGACGAGCGGUAGGGGAGCGUUCUCAGAUGGGAUGAAGGCAAAUCGUGAGGUUUGCUGGACUAAUGAGAAGUGAUUAUGCUGGCAUGAGUAACGAUAAAACGGGUGAGAAACCCGUUCGCCGUAAGCCUAAGGUUUCCUGGGUAAAGCUAAUCUGCCCAGGGUAAGUCGGCCCCUAAGGUGAGGCUGAAAAGCGUAACCGAUGGGAAACAGGUUAAUAUUCCUGUACCUGUACAUGUGUGCGACGGAGGGACGCAGGAGGAUAGCUGAUCCGGGUGUUGGAUAUCCCGGUGCAAGCGUGUAGGCUUGAAGGGUAGGCAAAUCCGCUCUUCUUUAAGGCCGAGACGUGAUGCCGUGUCAUUUACAGACUGAAGUCAGUGAUUCCAUGCUGCCUAGAAAAGCUUCUAAGUUUAGCAUGUGCAGACCGUACCGCAAACCAACACAGGUAGGCGGGUCGAGCAGACCAAGGCGCUUGAGAGAACUCUGGUUAAGGAACUCGGCAAAAUGAUCCCGUAAGUUCGCAAUAAGGGAUGCUCCCGCGUGUGAUAUGACUUGCUUGUUGAGCACGUGAGAGCCGCAGCGAAUCGGGGGGGGCGACUGUUUACUAAAAACAUAGGUCUCUGCGAAGUCGUAAGACGAAGUAUAGGGACUGACGCCUGCCCGGUGCCGGAAGGUUAAGAGGUGGAGUUAGCUUCGGCGAAGCUCUAAAUCGAAGCCCCGGUAAACGGCGGCCGUAACUAUAACGGUCCUAAGGUAGCGAAAUUCCUUGUCGGGUAAGUUCCGACCUGCACGAAUGGCGUAACGAUCCCCCCACUGUCUCAACCAGAGACUCAGUGAAAUUGAAUUCCGGGUGAAAAUGCCCGGUACCCGCAGAAGGACGGAAAGACCCUGUGCACCUUUACUACAGCUUGACAUUGGUAUUUGGUUUAUCAUGUGUAGGAUAGGUGGGAGACUUUGAAGCGGGCACGCCAGUGUUCGUGGAGUCACCCUUGAAAUACCACCCUUGAUAAUCUAGGUAUCUAAUCCAACGCCGUUAUCCGGCUUGGAGACAGUGUCUGGUGGGUAGUUUGACUGGGGCGGUCGCCUCCCAAAGAGUAACGGAGGCUUGCAAAGGUUCCCUCAGGCUGAUUGGAAACCAGCCGUCGAGUGCAAAGGCAUAAGGGAGCUUGACUGUGAGACAGACAUGUCGAGCAGGAACGAAAGUUGGUCUUAGUGAUCCGGUGGUUCCGCAUGGAAGGGCCAUCGCUCAUAGGAUAAAAGGUACGCCGGGGAUAACAGGCUGAUCGCGUCCAAGAGUUCACAUCGACGACGCGGUUUGGCACCUCGAUGUCGGCUCAUCACAUCCUGGGGCUGGAGCAGGUCCCAAGGGUACGGCUGUUCGCCGUUUAAAGUGGUACGCGAGCUGGGUUUAAAACGUCGUGAGACAGUUUGGUCCCUAUCCUCUGUGGGCGUAGGAGAAUUGAAGAGGGUCUGCCCCUAGUACGAGAGGACCGGGGUGGACGAACCUCUGGUGUUCCUGUUGUCACGCCAGUGGCACUGCAGGGUAGCUAUGUUCGGCACGGAUAACCGCUGAAGGCAUCUAAGCGGGAAGCCAUCCUCAAGAUUAGUUCUCCCUGGACUUCGGUCCCUGAAGAUCCCUUGU
This 1835-nucleotide ribosomal RNA is filed under the name Desulfovibrio oxyclinae DSM 11498. RNAcentral describes it as "bacterial LSU rRNA". It matches the Rfam family "Bacterial large subunit ribosomal RNA", at positions 1021 to 2841 of the family's 2925-position model. The record is from RNAcentral. Lineage: Bacteria; Pseudomonadati; Thermodesulfobacteriota; Desulfovibrionia; Desulfovibrionales; Desulfovibrionaceae.